AAUAGAUACCCCGGUAGUCCACGCCCUAAACGAUGCGAACUGGAUGUUGGGUGCACUUAGGCACGCAGUAUCGAAGCUAACGCGUUAAGUUCGCCGCCUGGGGAGUACGGUCGCAAGACUGAAACUCAAAGGAAUUGACGGGGGCCCGCACAAGCGGUGGAGUAUGUGGUUUAAUUCGAUGCAACGCGAAGAACCUUACCUGGCCUUGACAUGCACGGAACUUUCCAGAGAUGGAUUGGUGCCUUCGGGAACCGUGACACAGGUGCUGCAUGGCUGUCGUCAGCUCGUGUCGUGAGAUGUUGGGUUAAGUCCCGCAACGAGCGCAACCCUUGUCCUUAGUUGCCAGCACGUAAUGGUGGGAACUCUAAGGAGACCGCCGGUGACAAACCGGAGGAAGGUGGGGAUGGACGUCAAGUCAUCAUGGCCCUUACGGCCAGGGCUACACACGUACUACAAUGGUGGGGACAGAGGGCUGGCAAAACCCGGCGAGGGCAAGCCGAAUCCCAGAAACCCCAUCCCAGUCCGGAUUGGAGUCUGCAACUCGACU
RNAcentral lists this ribosomal RNA (547 nucleotides) under uncultured bacterium. RNAcentral describes it as "bacterial SSU rRNA". It matches the Rfam family "Bacterial small subunit ribosomal RNA", at positions 777 to 1317 of the family's 1533-position model. The record is from RNAcentral.